RNAcentral lists this ribosomal RNA (545 nucleotides) under uncultured Glomeromycotina. Its description in RNAcentral is "SSU rRNA". It matches the Rfam family "Eukaryotic small subunit ribosomal RNA", at positions 548 to 1098 of the family's 1831-position model. The record is from RNAcentral. Lineage: Eukaryota; Fungi; Glomeromycota.
UUGGAGGGCAGUCUGGUGCCAGCAGCCGCGGUAAUUCCAGCUCCAAUAGCGUAUAUUAAAGUUGUUGCAGUUAAAAAGCUCGUAGUUGAAUUUCGGGAUCAAUUUAUUGUCGUGCCAACGGUACGCACUGUACAAUUGUUUCUCCCUUCUGACGAAGCAUGAUGUCAUUAAUUUGAUGUCGUGGGGAAUCAGGACUGUUACUUUGAAAAAAUUAGAGUGUUUAAAGCAGGCUUUGGCUUGAAUACAUUAGCAUGGAAUAAUGAAAUAGGACGUUUGAUCUUAUUUCGUUGGUUUCUAAGAUCGACGUAAUGAUUAAUAGGGAUAGUUGGGGGCAUUAGUAUUCAAUUGUCAGAGGUGAAAUUCUUGGAUUUAUUGAAGACUAACUACUGCGAAAGCAUUUGCCAAGGAUGUUUUCAUUAAUCAAGAACGAAAGUUAGGGGAUCGAAGACGAUCAGAUACCGUCGUAGUCUUAACCAUAAACUAUGCCGACUAGGGAUCGGAUGAUGUUAAUUUUUUAAUGACUCAUUCGGCGCCUUACGGGAAAC